Molecule: ribosomal RNA, 494 nt
Filed under: uncultured bacterium
Lineage: Bacteria
Description: partial 16S ribosomal RNA
Rfam family: Bacterial small subunit ribosomal RNA
Source: RNAcentral
GACGAACGCUGGCGGCGCGCUUAACACAUGCAAGUCGAACGGAAAGGCCUGCUUUCCCUUGUGGAUUGCGGGUACUCGAGUGGCGAACGGGUGAGUAACACGUGAGUGAUCUGCCCCCAACUUGGGUAUAAGCCUGGGAAACUGGGUCUAAUUCCCGAUAGGACUGCAGGGUGGUGCCUGUGGUGGAAAACGAUUUUCUAGUGGUUGGGGAUGAGCUCGCGGCCUAUCAGCUUGUUGGUGGGGUAAUGGCCUACCAAGGCGGCGACGGGUAGCCGGCCUGAGAGGGUGGACGGCCACAUUGGGACUGAGAUACGGCCCAGACUCCUACGGGAGUCAGCAGUGGGGAAUAUUGCACAAUGGGCGGAAGCCUGAUGCAGCGACGCCGCGUGGGGGAUGACGGCCUUCGGGUUGUAAACUCCUUUCGACCGCGAGGAAGCCACCUGGUUGGAAGGGUGGUGACGGUAGUGGUAGAAGAAGCACCGGCUAACUACGUG